UAAAUACUCCCUCCGUCCCAAAAUUCUUGUCUUAUACUGUAUUUGUCUAGAUACCUAUGUAUCUAAUACUAGAACAUGACUUUAUACAUCUGUAUCUAGACAAAUUUAAGACGAGAAUUUUGGGACGGAGGGAGUAUGAG
Molecule: non-coding RNA, 140 nt
Organism: Triticum aestivum (bread wheat)
Lineage: Eukaryota; Viridiplantae; Streptophyta; Magnoliopsida; Poales; Poaceae
Source: Rfam